This is an RNA transcript of Musa acuminata AAA Group (dessert banana), 1786 nucleotides long. RefSeq lists it as uncharacterized. Lineage: Eukaryota; Viridiplantae; Streptophyta; Magnoliopsida; Zingiberales; Musaceae. The transcript is spliced from 7 exons. The record is from RefSeq and is a predicted model, not a curated record.
GUAGUAGUAGUAGGCCACGGGGUUUUUGGAUUUCCCAGCGACCACCGCAUCCGGAGGAGAUGACGACGGGGCUACAGUCCGUUUGCUGCGUUCACCGCCGCCUUCUCCAACUCUCGCCUCCCUCCUCUACUCCUCCCUUCUGCCCCCGUCGCAGAAGCCUCUCCGGCCCUUCCGCCGUCCUUCCUCCUGUUAACCUUCGAUGGUACGGCCGCAGUUUCCGCUUCCGGAACGCAUCCACAGGUCGAUCGAUUCUGCCGGGCAAGGUGUUAGCCUAUUUGCCCGAUUCAGAGAACUCCAACGGCGCGGUAAAAGAGGCGAAUCCGUCCAGUGUUGAUUCGAACGUUGGAUCCUUGGUUAGCGCGAGGGAUUUCGACGCGGUCCUCCGGUCUGGGUCUCACGCGAGGGGCAGCUUUGACCCCUUUCGUGGGAAGUCGGGUUCUGUGUCUUUCUGCGGAUUGACUCACCAGAUGGUGGAAGAGAGGAAGCUGGUUUCUUCCCCCUUCAAGGACGGCACAGGAUCGCUCGUGUGGAUUUUAGGUCCUCUAGCGCUGAUAUCUUCGCUCGUGGUUCCACAAUUUUUUCUCGGCAACGUUAUCGAGUCGGUUCUACGAGAUGAGAUCCUUGCAGAAAUUGUCGCCUCAUUGUCUUCAGAGGCCAUAUUCUAUGUCGGGCUUGCUGCAUUUCUGUCAGUAACUGAUCAUGUCCAACGCCCAUAUCUUGACUUCAGCCCGAAAAGAUGGAGCCUUAUCACCGGCCUCAGAGGCUACCUUUCCUCGGCUUUCUUCACCAUGGGUUUCAAGGUGUUUGCUCCUCUUCUUGCGGCCUAUGUUGUUUGGCCAGUGAUUGGUCUCCCUGCUGUGGUUGCCGUUGCUCCAUUUCUGAUGGGUUGUGCUGCACAAUAUGCAUUUGAGACACACCUCGACAGACGUAAUUCAUCUUGUUGGCCUGUAUUGCCAAUAAUCUUUGAGGUAUAUAGACUGUAUCAGUUGAACAAGGGUGCACAUUUUAUAGAAAGGUUAUUGUUUCUAAUGAGAGGAUCGUCUACGAACACUGCAGUAAUGGAAAGAAGUAGCGCAUUCAUUUCCAUGCUAGCCGUUCUCCAAAUCCUUGGUGUUGUUUGCCUGUGGUCUUUAAUGACUUUUCUUCUACGACUUUUCCCUUCUAGACCUGUGGCAGAGAACUAUUGAAUUCUCUCGAGCUUUUCUCAAUUUGUCAUGAUAGUGCACAUGAGCAGAGCAGCAUGGUACCUGAGGAACUGGUGGUCCACUGGCAUGACUCAAAUUUAAUAAAAGAACUUAUUGCUUGUCUGAUCUAGAAAUUAAAUUAUCCUUGAUUAUUCCUGCAGUGUGAUUGGUGACUUUGAUGAUGGAUGAUUGUGACGAAAUAGAAUCCACCUCUUUAAAAGCACUAACUGACAAAAUUAGCUGGUGCCAAAAUGGACAGUAUGGGAUUUGAAGGUAUAAUGUAUGAAAUCUGGGGACUGUGCAUACCAGUUAACAAAAAAGGGAAUUGGUAAAUGGAAAAUACAAGUGUUAAGAUGUUCGAACAGCAGGCCAGAUCUAUAAUGAUAUUAGAUGAUUCAGAGAUGUUUUCAAAAAGGUCGACUUGUUGGGUGGCCAACCCGGAGAUUGAAUUGUCCAAGAUUUAAGACACAAUCUCUGGGAAAUAAUCCAUCAAGAGAUUGGAUACGAUGAACAUAGUUUUAAAGCUAAAUUCAUGAGCUUGCCUUGCCCAUGGAAGUGGCCAACUUUUCCAGCCAGAAUAAAAAAUUGAAUUUGUUUUGUUA